RNAcentral lists this ribosomal RNA (433 nucleotides) under uncultured bacterium. Its description in RNAcentral is "partial 16S ribosomal RNA". It matches the Rfam family "Bacterial small subunit ribosomal RNA", at positions 29 to 507 of the family's 1533-position model. The record is from RNAcentral.
AGCGAACGCUGGCGGCAGGCUUAACACAUGCAAGUCGAGCGGGCCCUUCGGGGUCAGCGGCAGACGGGUGAGUAACACGUGGGAACGUACCCUUUGGUUCGGAAUAACGCUGGGAAACUAGCGCUAAUACCGGAUACGCCCUUUUGGGGAAAGGCUUGCUGCCGAAGGAUCGGCCCGCGUCUGAUUAGCUAGUUGGUGGGGUAAUGGCCUACCAAGGCGACGAUCAGUAGCUGGUCUGAGAGGAUGAUCAGCCACACUGGGACUGAGACACGGCCCAGACUCCUACGGGAGGCAGCAGUGGGGAAUAUUGGACAAUUGGCGCAAGCCUGAUCCAGCCAUGCCGCGUGAGUGAUGAAGGCCUUAGGGUUGUAAAGCUCUUUUGUCCGGGACGAUAAUGACGGUACCGGAAGAAUAAGCCCCGGCUAACUUCGUG